This 28-nucleotide non-coding RNA is filed under the name Mus musculus (house mouse). Lineage: Eukaryota; Metazoa; Chordata; Mammalia; Rodentia; Muridae. The record is from RNAcentral.
UGNGUGCUUAUAAUGUGCAGGUACUGUU